CCAUGCGGUUGUAUCCGAUUUAGAGUUCCAUGAAAUUGGUAGUAAGAGCCGGUCUCCGUUCGUGCAAAAUUAUACGAAAACCACUAUAGGUAGAAUGCCGCUGGUUAUAUGAGAAUGCUCCCCUCGUUCGGUUGAUCGAAACUCCCGAACGUCGGUCUUGUACUGUAAGGAGAAAUAGGUCAGACGGGACUUCCAUAAAGACCGGGUGUUCGUGCGAGUGCCAUGUCGAAAACAGUUCCAGGCACUCGACGACCAGGUCCCGCUGGCCUCGUUAGGGAGUUUAAGAUGGUCGCCAUCCUUUAUUCUCGCCACGUGUUCGUAUGCCGAAUGGCGGCCACCUAAGAGCCCUCAAUUACCUUGUGGUUUCGUGUUGCAACAUGGUGUUCUAUGUUCUAAUUGCUACCCAGGGUGGUCUCUGUUCGGUAGAACGAAUAAUCUACCGAACACACACAGAAAAACAAAUGCAGCCAAGUCAUUUAGGUAGCAGGGAGAGGAAAUAGUCAAAUAAAGACAGAGAAUACAGGGAAAUUCUUCACUAGGUGUACAAAGAUAUUUCUCAGCGGAUAGCAGCCGAGGGAUUUAAACGGACAUCGGUUCAGUGUAGGGUAAAGCUUUAAAAGCCA
Pelobates cultripes (western spadefoot toad) is the source of this 623-nucleotide non-coding RNA. The record is from the annotation of a GenBank genome assembly. Lineage: Eukaryota; Metazoa; Chordata; Amphibia; Anura; Pelobatidae.